UCGUCCCACUUCUCAUAUUCUUGAUUAGUCUAUGUAAUUUGUUUGAAACCUCAAUUUAGGAUUUGUUGGUGCGCAUUGAUAAAAUCUCAACUUUGAUUUGCAUGACCUCGGCAAUGAAAAGCAUAAAAAUCCCAAACCUUCAAGAGUGGAAGAAGGUUUUAGAGUCUUCAAGGUGUCAGGUUUAAGGCAAAUGUUGUUCUUCCAAUUUCAGAUGAUUUUAAUGGGAUGAAGAAAUCUUGGGAUGAUUUUUAUGAUUUUCAUUUCCGAGGUGUUUUUGCGAGGAUUUGAAAGCAAUAACCAGAUACACUGAUACUAAAAGGGGUUCCAUCUAGAUGGUUUGCGGAAACAAGAGAGUUUCAUCGGAGCCUUCUGUGAUCGUCAGUCAUACGAUUUUUUCAGUGUUUGGAUAAAUAAGGUAAUGGAGAAUUUUGUUUUUACUUGGUGUUAUGGUUUUUCAGUGUUUGAUUUUUAAAUCUAGGUCUCAAUUGGAUACAAGUUACACUGGAGUUUAUGGCUAAAGCUGAAUUAGACUUUACAAAUAACGCCAUACGUAAGCUACAACUUGCACUUCUUCAGGUUCAGGGUAUACAAGAUGAGAACAAGUUGUUUGCAGCUGGGUCUUUGAUUUCUAAAAAGGAUUAUGAAGAUGUUGUGACUGAAAAGUUCAUUCUAAUGUAUGCGGUUAUCCUCUAUGAAAGGGAGAUACCGUAUCAUCUGAAAAAUGAAGAAUGUUUAUCAGUUUAUAUAAUAUGCACUAUGCAGUAUCAUCUCUCAUUGAAUGACAAUUACAUGUCUACAUGUAACAGUUAGGAGACACCUACUUAUGAAUUGUGGUUGGGAUUUAGGAUAUUUUGUCACAUCUGCACCUAUUGAAUUAAAAAAUGACUGGCCACUCAUUUAUUUUUUUAUGUUUA
This is a long non-coding RNA of Papaver somniferum (opium poppy), 914 nucleotides long. RefSeq lists it as uncharacterized. The transcript is spliced from 2 exons. NCBI's taxonomy places the organism in Eukaryota, Viridiplantae, Streptophyta, Magnoliopsida, Ranunculales, Papaveraceae. The record is from RefSeq and is a predicted model, not a curated record.